Molecule: ribosomal RNA, 586 nt
Filed under: Bipolaris sp. C1-5
Lineage: Eukaryota; Fungi; Ascomycota; Dothideomycetes; Pleosporales; Pleosporaceae
Description: eukaryotic LSU rRNA
Rfam family: 5.8S ribosomal RNA (bases 208-361)
Source: RNAcentral
CUGCGGAGGGAUCAUUACACAAUAAAAUAUGAAGGCUGUACGCGGCUGUGCUCUCGGGCCAGUUUUGCGGAGGCUGAAUUAUUUAUUACCCUUGUCUUUUGCGCACUUGUUGUUUCCUGGGCGGGUUCGCCCGCCACCAGGACCACAUCAUAAACCUUUUUUAUGCAGUUGCAAUCAGCGUCAGUAUAACAAAUGUAAAUCAUUUACAACUUUCAACAACGGAUCUCUUGGUUCUGGCAUCGAUGAAGAACGCAGCGAAAUGCGAUACGUAGUGUGAAUUGCAGAAUUCAGUGAAUCAUCGAAUCUUUGAACGCACAUUGCGCCCUUUGGUAUUCCAAAGGGCAUGCCUGUUCGAGCGUCAUUUGUACCCUCAAGCUUUGCUUGGUGUUGGGCGUUUUUUGUCUUUGGUUGCCAAAGACUCGCCUUAAAAGGAUUGGCAGCCGGCCUACUGGUUUCGCAGCGCAGCACAUUUUUGCGCUUGCAAUCAGCAAAAGAGGACGGCAAUCCAUCAAGACUCCUUCUCACGUUUGACCUCGGAUCAGGUAGGGAUACCCGCUGAACUUAAGCAUAUCAAUAAGCCGGAGGA